Molecule: long non-coding RNA, 1496 nt
Organism: Parasteatoda tepidariorum (common house spider)
Lineage: Eukaryota; Metazoa; Arthropoda; Arachnida; Araneae; Theridiidae
Source: RefSeq, a predicted model, not a curated record
CAGCUAUUCGGUAUUCGAAAUUGUAAAAGAAUUCGUAAUUAUUUUCAUUACGGAAGACCUUAAAUUUGGUUUACAGUCUUAAAUUCUUCAAAUUUUGACAACGAGGGAUCUGUUUCUGAAGUCAAGAAGUUUCAGGUUCCGAAGUUUCUCGCCAUAUGUACUAGGGUUGUGUUUUUGACGUCCAAAACUGGGUUUGCCGUGUCGAAAAGUAUCUUAACUACUAUGGACCUAGCUAUCCGGAACUAUUUUCUUUCUCUUUUUUUUCCCCCCCUUCCUCCCUGCAGGGCUGCCAUUGGCGACUAAAAAGGCUACUAAAGCGACUAUUUUCAAGCAAUAGCAACUAGGGCGUCUAUUAUAGUAGAAAUAUGAGUAAAAACAACUAAUUUGCAAUGAGUUGCGUAAAAUUAGCGACUUUUUUAAGCCAAUUAGCGACUAAAAUUAAGAAUAACUUGAGUUUCCCUCUUUCCCCCGCGCGUUUCCGUUUUAUCCAAACUUUAUUCUUCCUCACUGCAAUGUCAAAAGCAAGACAGACAUGUUUAACCAAUCAGACUAAUGGAAUUCACACUGCAUGAAUGGUCCUCCUGCUCAUGUAAUAUCUCUGAGGAUUACGUUUCCCCCCCCCUCUUUUAAAUUUAACGAAGUAGUAAAAUAAAAAUAAAAAAUUGUCUUUAAUUACACAAAAUUGGUAGUUAAUUUUUUUAGAGCUAUUUACAAUAGAAAAAGGUAAUGGUGAUAUUCGUUUUGUCGAAUUCUGAUCGUAAUUUUUUUAAUAAGCUUUAAAUUUGGAAAUGCUUCAGUUAGGAAAAGUAAACAAAAUAAAAACUUGAUAUAUGAAUUAAGUUGCAAUAUUUCUAUUUCUUUUCUUCAAAUGUCUAAACUAAGCAGCUGCAAAUUAGAGCCGAGAAAGGAAAUUCGAGUUUCAAAUUCACCUGUUCUAUAGCAGAUAAAAAUAAAACUCGCUGUUUUCAUGCGUAGUGAGACAGAAUAAGGGUCCACAAGUAAUUACAAUUUUGGAUCGGUUUGUUUUGAUGUUCGAUUUGGAAUGUUGAAGUUUGCAGGGACUGCAGACGUCAUAUUUUCCUUACUUUUUCUAUUAUUUCUGCACUCUUCCCCCCCCCCUCCCCUGUUAUAUCCUUUUACUUCUUUUUUCUUUUCUUUUUUAAAUCCUCUCAUUUCUGCUAUUCUUCUUUUAAAAUGCAUAAUGAUAGCCAACAAAGCGAAAUAAUGACUCAAGGUCAAGUAUUGCAACUGUACUUGUUUUUCAAUUCAUUCAUUUUGAAUGGGAGUGUGAGGAGCAGAACACGGUAGAACAUGAUUUCUUAUUAGUACGUCAGCUUCUGUGUCUGCUUGCCAAUUCAUGUUUAACUCAUGAAGUUGCUGAAAAAUUAUAAGUAACAGAGAGAGAACAUGAAAUUGAAUCGGCUAGAAUUGAUAAACUUGUUCAUAAAAGGAAAACAAAUUUAAUUUAUUUAUACUAAAAAUCCCAAGAAAAUGUU